GAUGAACGCUGACAGAAUGCUUAACACAUGCAAGUCUUUGGCGAAGCUGUGCUUGCACAGCCUAGCCAAGGCGGACGGGUGAGUAACGCGUAAGGAACUUGCCCUGCAGUCAGGGAUAACAGACGGAAACGACUGAUAAGACCUGGUAAAGUCAGGCGGACUCAUGUCCAGCCUGAUGAAAAGAGAUGCUGCAGGAGAGCCUUGCGUCCUAUUAGCUUGUUGGUGGGGUAACGGCCCACCAAGGCGAUGAUAGGUAGCCGGCCUGAGAGGGUGGACGGCCACAAGGGGACUGAGAUACGGCCCUUACUCCUACGGGAGGCAGCAGUGGGGAAUAUUGGACAAUGGGGGCAACCCUGAUCCAGCAAUUCUGUGUGCACGAUGAAGGUUUUCGGAUUGUAAAGUGCUUUCAGCAGGGAAGAAAAAAAUGACGGUACCUGCAGAAGAAGCGACGGCUAAAUACGUGCCUGCAGCCGCGGUAAUACGUAUGUCGCAAGCGUUAUCCGGAAUUAUUGGGCAUAAAGGGCAUCUAGGCGGCCAGAUAAGUCUGGGGUGAAAACUUGCGGCUCAACCGCAAGCCUGCCCUGGAAACUAUGUGGCUAGAGUACUGGAGAGGUGGACGGAACUGCACGAGUAGAGGUGAAAUUCGUAGAUAUGUGCAGGAAUGCCGAUGAUGAAGAUAGUUCACUGGACGGUAACUGACGCUGAAGUGCGAAAGCUAGGGGAGCAAACAGG
RNAcentral lists this ribosomal RNA (732 nucleotides) under uncultured Leptotrichia sp. RNAcentral describes it as "bacterial SSU rRNA". It matches the Rfam family "Bacterial small subunit ribosomal RNA", at positions 28 to 776 of the family's 1533-position model. The record is from RNAcentral. Lineage: Bacteria; Fusobacteriati; Fusobacteriota; Fusobacteriia; Fusobacteriales; Leptotrichiaceae.